GGGGUUGUGGCUCAGUGGUAAAGUGCUUUCCUAGCAUGCAUGAGACACUGGGUUCAAUUCCCAGCACCACA
Molecule: transfer RNA, 71 nt
Filed under: Marmota monax (woodchuck)
Lineage: Eukaryota; Metazoa; Chordata; Mammalia; Rodentia; Sciuridae
Description: tRNA.Ala
Rfam family: tRNA
About the family: Transfer RNA (tRNA) molecules are approximately 80 nucleotides in length. Their secondary structure includes four short double-helical elements and three loops (D, anti-codon, and T loops).
Source: RNAcentral